RNAcentral lists this transfer RNA (70 nucleotides) under Gammaproteobacteria bacterium. RNAcentral describes it as "tRNA-OTHER". The record is from RNAcentral. Lineage: Bacteria; Pseudomonadati; Pseudomonadota; Gammaproteobacteria.
GCGGGUGGACUGGUCUGCGUAGGCCUCCAAAGCUGAAACGCAAGGGGUUCGAUUCCCCUCACCCGCUCCA